AGUUAAUGAGCUUGAAAAGCCUAUACUUUGAAAGUAUAUUAUAGAAGUAAAACCUCCUAUUAACUU
This 66-nucleotide transfer RNA is filed under the name Sinoxylon sp. SIN01. Its description in RNAcentral is "tRNA-Ser". The record is from RNAcentral. Lineage: Eukaryota; Metazoa; Arthropoda; Insecta; Coleoptera; Bostrichidae.